UCAUCUUCGGGGGUAGAGCACUGUUUCGACUAGGGGGUCAUCCCGACUUACCAACUCGAUGCAAACUGCGAAUACCGAAGAAUGUUAUCACGGGAGACACACGGCGGGUGCUAACGUCCGUCGUGAAGAGGGAAACAACCCAGACCGCCAGCUAAGGUCCCAAAGUCAUGGUUAAGUGGGAAACGAAGUGGGAAGGCUCAGACAGCCAGGAUGUUGGCUUAGAAGCAGCCAUCAUUUAAAGAAAGCGUAAUAGCUCACUGGUCGAGUCGGCCCGCGCGGAAGAUGUAACGGGGCUAAACCAUGCACCGAAGCUGCGGCAGCGACACAUAGUGUUGUUGGGUAGGGGAGCGUUCUGUAAGCCUGCGAAGGUGUACUGUGAGGUAUGCUGGAGGUAUCAGAAGUGCGAAUGCUGACAUAAGUAACGAUAAUGCGGGUGAAAAACCCGCACGCCGGAAGACCAAGGGUUCCUGUCCAACGUUAAUCGGGGCAGGGUGAGUCGACCCCUAAGGCGAGGCUGAAAAGCGUAGUCGAUGGGAAACGGGUUAAUAUUCCCGUACUGGUGGUAACUGCGAUGGGGGAACGGAGAAGGCUAGGUUGUCCGGGCGACGGUCGUCCCGGUUCAAGCAGGUAGGCAGAGUGAUUAGGCAAAUCCGGUCACUUAAUGCUGAGAUGUGAUGACGAACCACUAAGGUGGUGAAGCAAUUGAUGCCCCGCUUCCAGGAAAAGCCUCUAAGCUUCAGGUUACCAACAAUCGUACCCCAAACCGACACAGGUGGUCAGGUAGAGAAUACUCAGGCGCUUGAGAGAACUCGGGUGAAGGAACUAGGCAAAAUGGUGCCGUAACUUCGGGAGAAGGCACGCUGGCGGUAGGUAAAGUCCCUCGCGGACGGCGCCCAAGCCAGUCGAAGAUACCAGCUGGCUGCAACUGUUUAUUAAAAACACAGCACUGUGCAAACACGAAAGUGGACGUAUACGGUGUGACGCCUGCCCGGUGCUGGAAGGUUAAUUGAUGGGGUUAGCGCAAGCGAAGCUCCUGAUCGAAGCCCCAGUAAACGGCGGCCGUAACUAUAACGGUCCUAAGGUAGCGAAAUUCCUUGUCGGGUAAGUUCCGACCUGCACGAAUGGCGUAAUGAUGGCCAGGCUGUCUCCACCCGAGACUCAGUGAAAUUGAACUCGCUGUGAAGAUGCAGUGUACCCGCGGCAAGACGGAAAGACCCCGUGAACCUUUACUAUAGCUUGACACUGAACAUUGAGCCUUGAUGUGUAGGAUAGGUGGGAGGCUUUGAAGUGUGGACGCCAGUCUGCAUGGAGCCAACCUUGAAAUACCACCCUUUAACGUUUGAUGUUCUAACCUAGGCCCAUAAACUGGGUCGGGGACCGUGUCUGGUGGGUAGUUUGACUGGGGCGGUCUCCUCCUAAAGAGUAACGGAGGAGCACGAAGGUUGGCUAAGCAUGGUCGGACAUCAUGCGGUUAGUGCAAAGGCAUAAGCCAGCUUGACUGCGAGAGUGACGGCUCGAGCAGGUACGAAAGUAGGUCUUAGUGAUCCGGUGGUUCUGAAUGGAAGGGCCAUCGCUCAACGGAUAAAAGGUACUCCGGGGAUAACAGGCUGAUACCGCCCAAGAGUUCAUAUCGACGGCGGUGUUUGGCACCUCGAUGUCGGCUCAUCACAUCCUGGGGCUGAAGUAGGUCCCAAGGGUAUGGCUGUUCGCCAUUUAAAGUGGUACGCGAGCUGGGUUUAGAACGUCGUGAGACAGUUCGGUCCCUAUCUGCCGUGGGCGUUGGAAGAUUGAGAGGGGUUGCUCCUAGUACGAGAGGACCGGAGUGAACGCACCACUGGUGUUCGGGUUGUCAUGCCAAUGGCAUUGCCCGGUAGCUAAGUGCGGAAGAGAUAACCGCUGAAAGCAUCUAAGCGGGAAACUUGCCUCGAGAUGAGUCUUCCCUGUCGCUUUAAGCGACCUAAAGGAACGUUUAAGACUAAGACGUUGAUAGGCUGGGUGUGUAAGCGUAGCGAUACGUUGAGCUAACCAGUACUAAUGAACCGUGAGGCUUAACCUG
RNAcentral lists this ribosomal RNA (2056 nucleotides) under Proteus mirabilis. Its description in RNAcentral is "partial 23S ribosomal RNA". It matches the Rfam family "Bacterial large subunit ribosomal RNA", at positions 890 to 2925 of the family's 2925-position model. The record is from RNAcentral. Lineage: Bacteria; Pseudomonadati; Pseudomonadota; Gammaproteobacteria; Enterobacterales; Morganellaceae.